AGGAUGAACGCUAGCGGCAGGCCUAAUACAUGCAAGUCGAACGGUCGGUAGCAAUACUGAUAGUGGCGCACGGGUGCGUAACGCGUAGCCAACCUACCCACAUCUGGGGGAUAGCCCGCCGAAAGGCGGAUUAAUACCGCAUAAGACAGCGGAGCGGCAUCGCUUGGUUGUUAAAGAUUUAUUGGAUGUGGAUGGGGCUGCGUGCCAUUAGCUAGUUGGGGGGGUAACGGCCCACCAAGGCGACGAUGGCUAGGGGAGCUGAGAGGCUGGUCCCCCCACACGGGCACUGAGAUACGGGCCCGACUCCUACGGGAGGCAGCAGUAGGGAAUAUUGGGCAAUGGAGGAGACUCUGACCCAGCCAUGCCGCGUGCCGGAUGAAGGCCUUCUGGGUCGUAACGGCUUUUUUCCGGGAAGAACCGGUCCUGUGCGCAGGGCUCUGACGGUACCGGGAGAAUAAGCACCGGCUAACUCCGUGCCAGCAGCCGCGGU
This 490-nucleotide ribosomal RNA is filed under the name uncultured bacterium. RNAcentral's name for it is "SSU rRNA". It matches the Rfam family "Bacterial small subunit ribosomal RNA", at positions 26 to 521 of the family's 1533-position model. The record is from RNAcentral.